Molecule: RNA transcript, 2344 nt
Organism: Dreissena polymorpha
Lineage: Eukaryota; Metazoa; Mollusca; Bivalvia; Myida; Dreissenidae
Gene name: putative nuclease HARBI1
Exons: 5
Source: RefSeq, a predicted model, not a curated record
UUUUGCCUAAGUUUACAUACUUUCCCCUUAAUUUUCGCUAUUUUCCCUUAAUUUUUAAGAUAUUCCUCAAGUAUUAUCCACAAAACAAAAUGCCCUUAUGUUUUGCCUUAAGUCGGCAUUUUCGCCUUAACUUUUAAGGAACCUCCGGAGGACCCUUAAAUAUUAAGGAAAAAACUAACGUAGCGUCCAUUUUAACGCGGAAUCCUGUUUUCAAGGAGAGAAGUUAGAAAAUCAUCACAAUCGGUGGGUGUAUCUUAUUUCUUUUGAUAAAUUUAUCGAUAGUGCAGUUGAUUUAAAUAGUAAUUGUUUCUACCCGUUUAUAUUUGUUAGCGAGACAGGAAGUUGCAAUGUUUACUUCCGUAUGUAAAAAAAUAAGGAAUUGAUCGAGGAAGUUUUCGCACGUUGGUUUCAAGCUGUUAUUUUGUUAUACAAAUGUAAACACUGAUUUAAAAGCAGUUGAUGUGAAGUGUUUUUGUGUUUAUGAAAGAAUCAUACUUGUUUGUUUGAGUCAGUAACGAGGAAAAUCCGGAAAUGUUGAAUUGGGUUUACGGUCAUUUCGUAGCAUAGCCGUUUCGUACUCGUAGCUAAGCAUUUUCAGUUAUUUCGUAAUCAUUAAUCGAUCAUUUUGUAACCAAAUCGGUUAUUUUUGUAACCAGUAAUUAAAACUGAUUGUGUUUUCUAUUAUCAAUUCAAUUGCCAUUUUUAACGUUAUGUUACAAAAUGACAGACGCCCAAUCCCCCCAUUGUAUUGAAUUUGGAGAUGAAAAAACAACAUUGUCGUUUCGGAAUAUCCGGUCACCAAGAUGAUACUGUAUGAAAUAAAAGUUACAAAUCUUGCUGGGCUUAAUCUAUACUAUAUCGGGACGAACACUGUUCCAGUAUUUGUAUGUACUUUGCCUUGCAAGAUAAUGAAAAUCAAUCCAUAAAUGGCAGGAUAUAUUUGAUGGUAAGUUACUUUUCUACCAUAUAGCAAUUCAUACAGUACAUUGUGAUAUUUUCAACAUUUUGGUUAUACAGCUUGCAGCAAAAUGGCAGUUCGGGAGUAUCGUGAGCGAAUUGACAUUGCACAGUUGACCAAUGAUGAUCUGUACAAGAGGUAUCGUGUGAACCAUGCCACAUUGGCAUAUAUAAUUGCCCAGCUGGAUGCUGCCUUAGCCCCCAAUACUGACAGGAGCCACAGCCUUUCUACUGGCUACAAGGUCUUGAUCACACUGAGAUUCCCAAAUGUGAUCGGUGUCAUAGAUGGGACUCAUGUACAGAUCCAGGCACCAUCUAUUGAUGAACCCAUGUACGUGAACAGAAUGGGUUACCAUUCCAUCAACACACAGAUGGCCAGGAAGUACCCACGAUAGCAGGAUCCUUAGAGGAAGUGGGCUGUGGCAAGUUUUCGAUAGAAACCUGCUUCCACAGAAUGACCACUUUCUUCUGGGCGAUAGUGGGUAUCCCUGCAAACGCUGGCUGUUGACGCCUUAUGUGAGACCAGCUAAUAACGCUCAGGAAGCGUAUAACAGGGCACACAAGUUGACAAGGAGCAAGGUUGAACGGGGCAUAGGACAGCUGAAACGCAGAUGGGGAAUUCUGCAUGGAGAAGUUAGACUUGCUCCAGAAAAAACGUGCAAGGUGAUCAUUGCAUGUGCAGUUUUGCACAACAUCUGCAAGCUGCAUGGUGUGCCAGAUGUUGAUGAUCUGCCGGAAGAUCCUGUGCGCAAUGACGGGAUUCAUGUUGGUCCAGAAGAUGGACUUCGCUUCCGUGAUAUUAUAUGCGAACAGUAUUUUAGAUUGUAAAUUACGGGGGAUAUAGACAAAACAAGUCUUAAAAAUGUGUGUUCAUUUACAUCUAAUAAAGACAAAACAAGUCUUAAAAAUGUGUGUUCAUUUACAUCUGAUAAAGACAAAACAAGUCUUAAAAAUGUGUGUUCAUUUACAUCUGAUAAAGACAAAACAAGUCUUAAAAAUGUGUGUUCAUUUACAUCUGAUAAAGACAAAACAAGUCUUAAAAAUGUGUGUUCAUUUACAUCUAAUAAAGACAAAACAAGUCUUAAAAAUGUGUGUUCAUUUACAUCUGAUAAACACAAAACAAGUCUUAAAAAUGUGUGUUCAUUUACAUCUGAUAAAGACAAAACAAGUAUAUAAAAUGUGUGCUGAAUGAGACAUAGCUGAUUAAUAUAGGAUUGGUGGCUGGGGAACAUAGCUGAUAUUAUAGGUUUCAGGGCAAGGGAACAUAGCUGAUGUUAUAGGUUUUGGAGCCAGAAAACAUAGCUGAUAAUAUCAGUUUGGGGGUCGGAGGCCAUCGCUGAUGUUAUUGGUUUGGGGGCCGGGGGACAUAGCUGAUAUGAUAUAAAAA